This 711-nucleotide small RNA is filed under the name Rattus norvegicus (Norway rat). RNAcentral's name for it is "uncharacterized LOC102550974". Lineage: Eukaryota; Metazoa; Chordata; Mammalia; Rodentia; Muridae. The record is from RNAcentral.
AAGUGCAAACAGCAUCGCACAGGGAUGGAGCUGGGGACUGUUUGAGGCUUCGAAGGGGAGGAGUUCUAUUGGAAGCAGUUAAGAGCCUCUGGUUUGGCUCUCAGGGUGCUGCUCGGCUCCAUUUUAGCCGGAAGGCACAGCACUCUAGAGUUGCUGGCGCUCCUCCGUGGAAUGUUGUGGAAUGUUGUGGAAUGUUCUUGUUCACUCUGCACGCAGCAGGGACAGUAAUUGCCCUCACCAUUUGGCUGCUCUGCGAUCUCUAGAACAUUUUCACAUCCCUCAUCUCACUGGCAAACAUUUCCACCUUCCAGUGGGUACUGUAGGGAAAGGAAGUCACUUUUACUGUAUGGGUAAAGACAAGGCUAGGAGAGCUGACCUAAACUCAGGGUCUAGAGGCCAGAAGAACUAGGGCCUGGGCCCCACCCUGUGACUGUGGGCCCAGGGCUGCUUCCACUCCCCUUGCUUUGGUAAGGAGAGCUCUGAGACUGACUAUCUAGCUCUCGCAGAAGCACGUGAAUGAAGUCAUCAAGCACUUCUUCUGGAACGUUCCUCGUGAGAUCACAACGUCGCAGAGUAAGGAUUCUCCAGCAACCUUGUCACUUUGGAGAAGCCUGACAGUGUAGACUGUUGCUCUCCAAGAUGGCACCCUGUGACAGACCCAUCUUCUCCAAUUGUCUCUACCGCAGUGAUCUGUACUUCUGAUGGGCAUGG